This 253-nucleotide ribosomal RNA is filed under the name uncultured bacterium. Its description in RNAcentral is "partial 16S ribosomal RNA". It matches the Rfam family "Bacterial small subunit ribosomal RNA", at positions 524 to 776 of the family's 1533-position model. The record is from RNAcentral.
UACGAAGGGGGCUAGCGUUGCUCGGAAUCACUGGGCGUAAAGGGCGCGUAGGCGGCCAUUCAAGUCGGGGGUGAAAGCCCAGGGCUCAACCCUGGAAUUGCCUUCGAUACUGCGGGUCUCGAGUCCGGGAGAGGUGAGUGGAAUUCCUAGUGUAGAGGUGAAAUUCGUAGAUAUUAGGAAGAACACCAGUGGCGAAGGCGGCUCACUGGCCCGGUACUGACGCUGAGGCGCGAAAGCGUGGGGAGCAAACAGG